GGAUCUGGCUCAGUGGUAGAGCAACUGUUUUGCAUGUAGAAUGCCUCUAGUUCAAUUCCCAGCAUAUCCA
Molecule: transfer RNA, 70 nt
Filed under: Sphaerodactylus townsendi
Lineage: Eukaryota; Metazoa; Chordata; Lepidosauria; Squamata; Sphaerodactylidae
Description: tRNA-Ala
Source: RNAcentral